AGCACUGAAUGGGCUAGGGCAUAUACCAAUGUACCAAACCCUAUCAAACUCCGAAUACCUUAUAUGUAAUCACAGCAGUCAGGCGGCGAGUGAUAAAAUCCGUCGUCAAGAGGGAAACAACCCAGACUACCAGCUAAGGUCCCUAAAUCUUACUUAAGUGGAAAACGAUGUGAAGUUACUUAAACAACCAGGAGGUUGGCUUAGAAGCAGCCAUCCUUUAAAGAAAGCGUAAUAGCUCACUGGUCUAGUGAUUUUGCGCGGAAAAUAUAACGGGGCUAAAGUAAGUACCGAAGCUGUAGACUUAGUUUACUAAGUGGUAGGAGAGCGUUCUAUUUGCGUCGAAGGUAUACCGGUAAGGAGUGCUGGAGCGAAUAGAAGUGAGCAUGCAGGCAUGAGUAGCGAUAAUUAAUGUGAGAAUCAUUAACGCCGUAAACCCAAGGUUUCCUACGCGAUGCUCGUCAUCGUAGGGUUAGUCGGGUCCUAAGUCGAGUCCGAAAGGGGUAGACGAUGGCAAAUUGGUUAAUAUUCCAAUACCAACAUUAGUGUGCGAUGGAAGGACGCUUAGGGCUAAGGGGGCUAGCGGAUGGAAGUGCUAGUCUAAGGUCGUAGGAGGUUGUACAGGCAAAUCCGUAUAACAAUACUUCGAGAACUGAAAGGCUUUUUGAAGUCUUCGGAUGGAUAGAAGAACCCCUGAUGCCGUCGAGCCAAGAAAAGUUUCUAAGUUUAGCUAAUGUUGCCCGUACCGUAAACCGACACAGGUGGGUGGGAUGAGUAUUCUAAGGCGCGUGGAAGAACUCUCUUUAAGGAACUCUGCAAAAUAGCACCGUAUCUUCGGUAUAAGGUGUGGUUAGCUUUGUAUUAGGAUUUACUCCGAAAGCAAGGAAACUUACAACAAAGAGUCCCUCCCGACUGUUUACCAAAAACACAGCACUCUGCUAACUCGUAAGAGGAUGUAUAGGGUGUGACGCCUGCCCGGUGCUCGAAGGUUAAUUGAUGGGGUUAGCAUUAGCGAAGCUCUUGAUCGAAGCCCGAGUAAACGGCGGCCGUAACUAUAACGGUCCUAAGGUAGCGAAAUUCCUUGUCGGUUAAAUACCGACCUGCAUGAAUGGCGUAACGAGAUGGGAGCUGUCUCAAAGAGGGAUCCAGUGAAAUUGUAGUGGAGGUGAAAAUUCCUCCUACCCGCGGCAAGACGGAAAGACCCCGUGGACCUUUACUACAGCUUGACACUGCUACUUGGAUAAGAAUGUGCAGGAUAGGUGGGAGGCUUUGAGUAUAUGACGCCAGUUGUAUAUGAGCCAUUGUUGAGAUACCACUCUUUCUUAUUUGGGUAGCUAACCAGCUUGAGUUAUCCUCAAGUGGGACAAUGUCUGGUGGGUAGUUUGACUGGGGCGGUCGCCUCCCAAAUAAUAACGGAGGCUUACAAAGGUUGGCUCAGAACGGUUGGAAAUCGUUCGUAGAGUAUAAAGGUAUAAGCCAGCUUAACUGCAAGACAUACAAGUCAAGCAGAGACGAAAGUCGGUCUUAGUGAUCCGGUGGUUCUGUGUGGAAGGGCCAUCGCUCAAAGGAUAAAAGGUACCCCGGGGAUAACAGGCUGAUCUCCCCCAAGAGCUCACAUCGACGGGGAGGUUUGGCACCUCGAUGUCGGCUCAUCGCAUCCUGGGGCUGGAGCAGGUCCCAAGGGUAUGGCUGUUCGCCAUUUAAAGCGGUACGCGAGCUGGGUUCAGAACGUCGUGAGACAGUUCGGUCCCUAUCUGCCGUGGGCGUAAGAAGAUUGAAGAGAUUUGACCCUAGUACGAGAGGACCGGGUUGAACAAACCACUGGUGUAGCUGUUGUUCUGCCAAGAGCAUCGCAGCGUAGCUAAGUUUGGAAAGGAUAAACGCUGAAAGCAUCUAAGCGUGAAGCCAACUCUAAGAUGAAUCUUCUCUAAGCUCUCUAGAAGACUACUAGUUUGAUAGGCUGGGUGUGUAAUGGAUGAAAGUCCUUUAGCUGACCAGUACUAAUAGAGCGUUUGGCUUAUCUUUAAUAAAGCAU
This 2032-nucleotide ribosomal RNA is filed under the name Campylobacter jejuni. Its description in RNAcentral is "partial 23S ribosomal RNA". It matches the Rfam family "Bacterial large subunit ribosomal RNA", at positions 906 to 2925 of the family's 2925-position model. Lineage: Bacteria; Pseudomonadati; Campylobacterota; Epsilonproteobacteria; Campylobacterales; Campylobacteraceae. The record is from RNAcentral.